GACGAACGCUGGCGGCGUGCUUAACACAUGCAAGUCGAACGGUAAGGCCCCUUCGGGGGUACACGAGUGGCGAACGGGUGAGUAACACGUGAGCAACCUGCCCUUGACUCUGGAAUAACAGUUGGAAACAGCUGCUAAUACUGGAUAUUCAUCGUCUCCUUCCUGGGGGGUGGUGGAAAGCUCCGGCGGUCAGGGAUGGGCUUGCGGCCUAUCAGCUUGUUGGUGAGGUAAUGGCUCACCAAGGCUUCGACGGAUAGCCGGCCUGAGAGGGCGACCGGCCACACUGGGACUGAGAUACGGCCCAGACUCCUACGGGAGGCAGCAGUGGGGAAUAUUGCACAAUGGGCGCAAGCCUGAUGCAGCAACGCCGCGUGCGGGAUGACGGCCUUCGGGUUGUAAACCGCUUUCAGUAGGGACGAAGGGUGACUGACGGUACCUACAGAAGAAGAACCGGCUAACUACGUG
Molecule: ribosomal RNA, 465 nt
Filed under: uncultured bacterium
Lineage: Bacteria
Description: partial 16S ribosomal RNA
Rfam family: Bacterial small subunit ribosomal RNA
Source: RNAcentral